Daucus carota subsp. sativus is the source of this 2186-nucleotide long non-coding RNA. RefSeq lists it as uncharacterized. The record is from RefSeq and is a predicted model, not a curated record. NCBI's taxonomy places the organism in Eukaryota, Viridiplantae, Streptophyta, Magnoliopsida, Apiales, Apiaceae. The transcript has 2 exons.
UCGAUUUAUGGAAUGUUAGAUGAUUUUAUUAUCGAUUUACGGAUUUAAUUGUGUAUAUUUAUAUUUAUUUAUUAAUUAUUGGACUUCCGUAAAACCGUCCACUCGUAACGAGGUGGCAAAUUUUCUUCCCGGAAGUUUCAACAAAGCUCACCUUUAGCCUAAUUUGAAUAUUCCGGACAUUUUUCGUGUUUUGACUUUUUCGAUCCGGAGUACGGUUUGUUCCGGAGCCGGUCCGGCGGAGUUUUUCGGUAUUCGAUAAUUAUCCGUUCGUCUCGAUAAGCGUGAAACGAGAUAUUUUCUUCAUCCUUAUCUUGUCAUAAUUGCCAUGGGACCCGCAGACCAAUAAUUGAGUUAAAAAGCCCCGUUUUGAUGAUUAUCUCGAAAACCAGUACCGAUUGGACCCCGCUUUAUUAAUAUAAAGCUAUUAAAUACGUAUUUUCAUGCCAUAAACGAUCCAAAGGGGUACCAAUUAUUUGUAAAUAUAAAUAUACCUUUCUAGAGCUUAUUUUCACCCGUAAAAUCAUUUCACCAGUUUCUCCGCACGAUAAUCGAGAGAAACCGAGCGGUGUUCUUCGUGUUCUUCAUAAUCGAACGAAGAUUUGAAGGUGUUAUUGGAGUCAGAAUCAAGCGUGCAAAUAGUCAAAUCGAAGAUAUCGAGGAGUAGAAUCCAUAUCAAUGAUCAAAAACAACAUGAGAUUCACAGGAUUUGGACGAGGCGUGUACGUUCGAAGACGUUCAGAAAGUCAAAUGGUGUUGCAAAGCGAAUAAGGGAUGAACCGAGGAAGCGAAGAUGUACGGUAGAUAGAGUAUAGCCAGAGAUGGUCUAGAGACUAUGAUAUGCAUAGAGUGUGAAAGUGGAAAGAUGAGAUUGAGAUGUGAGACUGGAGUCAGAUUUAAGGCAAGUAUCCUACACCUUGCUUUUGGAUAUAUUGCAUAUUCUGAUCCAUUCUUUUCUAUAUGUGUUGCAAGUAUCCUAAACCUUUCUCUUGGAUAUAUUGCAAUUAUUCUGAUCCAUUCCUUUGGUAUAUGUUUCAAGUAUUCAUACCUUUCUUUUCAAUGUUCGAAAGUGCGAGUAUUCUGACCCAUUCUUUCUAAUCUUCAAGUUUCUAAAGAAUUUUCGCUUUACAAAUUAAUUCGAAGUUCAGAUUGUCAUUGAAGCAUGUGUUGCUCAGUGAUAGUUAGAGCUUUGAAUGAAUUGGGAUCUUCUUGAUUAUUCAACCCGCCAUUGUCAUGCUGGUUUAGCAGGCUAAAUUCAGUUGCUUAGCCGAUAAUGGAGGAUACUGAAUAGUUGAGGAUUUCCUGAACUGUGAUUUAUGAAAUGAUGGAUCAUGAUUUAUGAAUAGAUUGUUAUCAAAGUUUGAAUUGGAAUUAUUCUGUUGUUGAUGAUAUUUAUGAUGAUGUUCUGUUAAUUUACAUUGGUUUCUUGAAUUGAAUUAGAGAAUUGGAUUAUUGUUUUUAUAUAAACCUGUGGACCAGAUUCGUGGUCAUGUUAGGCCAAUGAGUGCCUUGGAUCCAGUGAUAGAGCAUGGCGGGGCCUGCUCGGGGUUAGUGCGGAACUGAUCAGCUGCCUAACCUUGGUUUUAAUUAAAAUGUGAUAGUCCAAUUCAAUAAUUCUUUGGAAAGAUUGAAUUUCUCAGUUUAAAUGCUGCAAGGUAUUGUAAAUCAUUCUAUACAAUACCAUGAACUCAUGAACUCAGGUUGAAUCCUUUUAUAUCUUGAACUCAUGAACUUCUGUUAUAUCAUUUCAGAAUUUUCAUUGUUUAUUAUUACUUGCUGAGCAUUGUUGCUCACCCUUGCUAUUCCUUUCUAACCAUUUCAGAAAGGCUUAAAAAUGAGAUGAUUGAUUGAGAUUGUGAAUAAGGCUAAUGCUAGACGAGGAGACAGAGUUGAGGAUCCAGUGGCCGAGGAAUGUUCAGGAAAGUUGAUGAGGGUGGUGCAAGCUAGAGCUGUGCUAUAGGGAUUCAAGUGUAAGUCAUAGCUGGAAUAGUUGACAGUGAUUCUUCUUAUCGAAGAUGAUCUGACUCGGUAAGAAAUGUUGUGUAAUAUUAGUGGUGGAUUCUAAUUUCAAUACUGUAACCUGGAUGCGAUCCUGUUGUUUUUAGGGGGUUGAAAUGUCUCUUUCGAAUCAUUUAUUAAAGUGUAAAUAUUCUCUUGAAAUUCUCCUAUUAUGGCUGUCAAGUUACAAA